GUGAAAGCUGGCGUCUUCGGCGUCCGCAUUGUAAUCUCAAGAAGUGUUUUCCGCUUCGGACCAAGCCUAAGUCCCCUGGAAAGGGGCAUCAUAGAGGGUGAUAAUCCCGUACAUGGCUUGGAGCGCCCGAGGCUUUGUGAUACGCUUUCUAAGAGUCGAGUUGUUUGGGAAUGCAGCUCAAAAUGGGUGGUAAAUGCCAUCUAAGGCUAAAUAUUGGGGAGAGACCGAUAGCGAACAAGUACAGUGAUGGAAAGAUGAAAAGAACUUUGAAAAGAGAGUUAAACAGUACGUGAAAUUGCCAAAAGGGAAGGGUAGGAGGUCAGAGAUGCGGCCUGGGAUUCAGCCUUGCUUUUGCUUGGUGUUUUUCCCAGAUUGCAGGCCAACGUCGGUUUUGGGCACUGGAGAAGGGUAGGAGGAACGUGGCACCCCUCGGGGUGUGUUAUAGCCUCCUACUGGAUACAGCGACCGAAACCGAGGACAGCAGCGUACUCGCAAGAGCGGGCCUUCGGGCACCUUUACGCUUAGGGCGUUGGCAUAAUGGCCCUCUACCAUCCGUCU
This 558-nucleotide ribosomal RNA is filed under the name uncultured Pseudozyma. RNAcentral's name for it is "LSU rRNA". It matches the Rfam family "Eukaryotic large subunit ribosomal RNA", at positions 115 to 654 of the family's 3401-position model. Lineage: Eukaryota; Fungi; Basidiomycota; Ustilaginomycetes; Ustilaginales; Ustilaginaceae. The record is from RNAcentral.